This 521-nucleotide ribosomal RNA is filed under the name Thelonectria ostrina. RNAcentral describes it as "SSU rRNA". It matches the Rfam family "Eukaryotic small subunit ribosomal RNA", at positions 65 to 590 of the family's 1831-position model. The record is from RNAcentral. Lineage: Eukaryota; Fungi; Ascomycota; Sordariomycetes; Hypocreales; Nectriaceae.
AUAAGCAAUUAUACAGCGAAACUGCGAAUGGCUCAUUAUAUAAGUUAUCGUUUAUUUGAUAGUACCUUACUACUUGGAUAACCGUGGUAAUUCUAGAGCUAAUACAUGCUAAAAAUCCCGACUUUGGAAGGGAUGUAUUUAUUAGAUUAAAAACCAAUGCCCUCCGGGGCUCCUUGGUGAUUCAUGAUAACUCCUCGAAUCGCAUGGCCUUGCGCCGGCGAUGGUUCAUUCAAAUUUCUUCCCUAUCAACUUUCGAUGUUUGGGUAUUGGCCAAACAUGGUUGCAACGGGUAACGGAGGGUUAGGGCUCGACCCCGGAGAAGGAGCCUGAGAAACGGCUACUACAUCCAAGGAAGGCAGCAGGCGCGCAAAUUACCCAAUCCCGACUCGGGGAGGUAGUGACAAUAAAUACUGAUACAGGGCUCUUUUGGGUCUUGUAAUUGGAAUGAGUACAAUUUAAAUCCCUUAACGAGGAACAAUUGGAGGGCAAGUCUGGUGCCAGCAGCCGCGGUAAUUCCAGCU